UUUUGUAUUUUUGGUUGGGUUUUUUGUUUGUUUAUUUGUUUUUGCUCAAACUUAGUUAAAACCAAAACUUAUUUAAGGUUUUUCUUUUAAUGGGGAAUACUGAGAUUCCAAAAAGUUAAGGAAUUUAUUUAAAGUCACACAGGAAAGUAGCAGCAGAAUUUAGACUAGAACCAAGGCUUUCAGUCUUCUUAAUACACUUCUAUUUAUUUGAAUUUGGGUCUCUGUACCUUGAACAAUGUCUAAAGUAGGACUUUUAGCCAUCAUUUUUAUACAUCUUCCUUAUUCUUAGAGCACAGUGGAGUAGAUCAUCAAUAGAAGAACAUGAAAAUAGAUAGAAGCACUAUGCCAAGGACCAGUAUAGGAAUGACAAAAGAUGUUCUAGAGUAGACUGAAAGACCUGACUUAGGAUGUGUAGACUUACUUUAGAGAACACUUACCAUCAUAGCAUCCUCCACGAAACAUUUUUAGUAAGACCGUGAUAUCUGCUUCAUAUUGGGGAUGACUUUUCUUUUAUUGCUGCCUGAUUUUCCUUAAGCAUUGCCAUCUUUCAUAGUAUGGAGGUGACUGAGAAAGAAUGUAGUCAGAACAGACCAACCUUUCUUCAUUCACUUCCUAAAUGAGUCCAUUAAAAUUAUGACAUUAUCACCAAUCAUUAACAUUGUCAGCAUCAUAAUCCUCAUCAUCAACAUUUAACACUCAUUGAGGGUUUACUGUGUACCAGGCAAUGUGCUAAGCUUCAUAUGCACUAUCUCAUUUAAUCCUCACAACAUUCCUAUGAGGCUAGUAUACUUAUUAAAUUCAUUUUACAGGUAAGAAAACUGCUACUCAGAGAACUUUAAUGCUUUUUCCCCCCACAGUCACACAGCUAGUUUGUAAUAGCACCGGGAUUUAAACUGAGGUUGGCUCACAACAGAAUUUAUGACCAUAAACACAGUAACAAAUGUUGGGCAGUUAGAUCAGAAAGCAAAGCAAUUUCAAAGAGAAGGUGAAUGUCUUAGGUUUAGUUUAAAACUAUAUUGUGUUUAAAGUCAGUGAAUUCAGGGAACAAUAAAAAAAUAAAAAAUAUCAGAGAGAAGGACAAGGUAAGAAGCUCUGUGUUGCAGAAGAAUGUAUAUUUGCAACCACAAGAGUAAAAUCCCAGAACAAGACUUUAGUUUGAAAAAAUGUGACACUAGAAGUCUUCUUUUCUUGGUUUUCCUGAGAGUAGGCUCUGCUCUUCAUAAUAGUUUUAAUUGGGAAAUGUUCAUGCAAGUAGAGUACAUGUCAGGUGUAAAAUAACAAAUGGUUUAGGUGUCUCCUGCUUGGAAAGAAGUAUGAGAAGUUCAGAAGUUUCUGUUCUGAGAGACGGAGAUCACAACAGGAUGGAUUUGCAGUAUGAAUAAAAGGAACUUUCUUGAGACGGCAUGCGCUGGAACUUUGGAACUUUGGCCGAGACAGAAAAUAACAGCAUUACCUAAUUAAGAGACCCAUGUGAACUAUAAGAAAAUAUGAGGCUCUACCGAUGUUGGACACAGAUGGACAUUGCAAGGCUGGAGGCAGAAGGGACUUGCUUCUUCUUGGCUUGUGGUUUUCACAUGGUGAUGAGUGUCUCAGUUUGUGGUGAACUCUGCGGGUUUCACU
Molecule: long non-coding RNA, 1620 nt
Organism: Lemur catta (Ring-tailed lemur)
Lineage: Eukaryota; Metazoa; Chordata; Mammalia; Primates; Lemuridae
Exons: 3
Source: RefSeq, a predicted model, not a curated record